GCGAUCGGCCAGAAAACUGCAAUUGGUGCACCCCUAUUUGCUGCCAUGUGAUUGGCUGAUUUACUAUUUGUGCAGUCAAUUUGAACAGUAGAAGCUAAUAAAGUGGCCAUUAGGGAGAAAUGUUGGGUUUCUGUUUUUAUUACAUAAGAAAAACUGACGAUGUUUUAUUGACUGAUCACUGCUUCUGUCAACGACUGAAAGCACAUUAAUUAGAUCAAGGUUCACAUCAAACCAGAUGAACCCAUUUUGGAAUGAGGAUCCUCUGCUGAAGUUUUCUUUUAUUUUCUUUUUUUUUUCCUGUGUGCUUUUCUCCCCAAUAACUUUGUGCUCCACGCUCGCCGUUCUCAAAGUGUGCAGCCGCACCACAGCCUCCUGUCUCUGCCCUGCUUCUCCUCCAGACGGUACUCACUGAUUCUUCCCUGCCGACCUCUGACACCCAGAGCGACGUGCCACGUUUCUGACGGCACUCGGAUCCUGAUUGAUGUCAUCAGUGAGUCAAAGGUUCCUGUAACAUGCAGAGAGAAGGAAGCUGGACUUCAGAGAUAGCCUGAUGAACCCUUGUUGUUGGAAAAAGGUUUUAGCAGCCAAUUACCUAGCAGUAGCUGAAUAAUAAUUUUAAGUGGAAAUUUUGGAAAUCUCAUCUGUUAGCUUUCGUCAAUUGAGUCUGAAGAGAAAACUUAGCAUUUUUCUUUCCUUUAUCCUUGUAAGAUUGUGGGAGGAUACCCCAAACCGUUUGAAUUCAAGUCAGUGCUAGCAAACACUGAGAAAAUGCAUGUCUGACUUUGAAGACACUAAUGAAUAAAUCUCUCACAUAUUCUUUCUCUUAUUAUUAUUUAGCACAUAGGAAUAAUUUGGGUAAUUCUAACUGGCCUAAAGCAAUAAAAAUUUGGUCUUAUUUAGUUUCAGACAGUGAGAAAAUAAAAGGUUUUGUCUUUUUAUUUGAUGUCUGUAAGCUAGUUGUGGGUGGCUCAAUCCACAAUAUCGAUAAUAUCGAUAGCAAGUCGGUAUCAGUAUCCGAUAAAUACUAGCACAAUAAAAUCAAUACUUUAGUUUCAGAUUCCCUCUUGAAAUUUGCCAUUAAUUUACUCACAAAUAAUAUUUUUUGUGCUUUAUUUUGAAAACAGUGCACACAAAUUUGUUUUGCUUUCCUAUUGUUUCAGUUUAUUAUGUUAUUAAAUGACUUUGUAGACACCUGUAAACUUUAUCUAAAUUCUGUCCCAGGUUUUAACUAAAUAAUUCACAGGAAUUUAGUCAGAAAAACAGCUAAUGGUGAGAUAUUUGAAGAUAUGUCACACUUAAAUUAUAAGUAUCUGUAUUAGUAUCAGCGAUACAGGCCUUGUAUUUAUCGGAUUGACGUCAAAAUAUUCAGUAUCACAUACCUCUAAUGUAAACUCCUGCUUUUAACUUUAUACCUCUCAGCGUUUAGUGAAUGUGAGAGAUUACAAACCAAAACCAUUGAAAAAACAUUUAUUUUAUUGUGAAGUAGUCACAUUUUCCUACUCCACAUUUCAGCUACUCACAGUCAGUGUUGAUUUUCAGGCACAACCUCAUUGAGAAUUAUGUGUUGAAAUUCCCCAACCAGAUUGGUAAAAUAUGAAGCUGCAGACGGAAACAAUAAAGCAAAAAUAUAGCAAAACAAAAAUUAGUUUUCUGACCUUGUCGGGUUUGCUGGAGCCUCUAAAUGCACCUGAGAGUCUGAAUUCUCCCCAACACAAAUGGUGCAUAAAUUUUCCGAACGUAAACUGCCCUCUGUGAACAGACGCGCAGGUUGGGGAUAACCGUCGAGCAAACCAGCUCAUCGUGCAACACCUCCAACCCUGACUUUGUCUUUUCAUCGCCCAUGGAUGCGACGUUUCCCGUGACGAGUACCUCUGCUUCUCCUCUGGUCUGAUGUCAGCAAAGAAGCCAACAGCGGUUAAGAGGCUCACCCUUACAGAGCCAUGAGAAAAGGUUUGUACAAUGUGGACUAAAGUGCAAAGCUUUUAAGUGCACAGCAUCACCAGAACAUAAAUAGAGGACAACUGUGUGCAGUCUUAAUGCUACUGCACUUGUACUAACAUUCUGAAGUGCAGGCAGAAGCAAGUGUCCAUGGACACAGAGACGGUGACAUGAGUGCUGCCAGCACUUCUGAAAACAUGUUGUACUCUUUUUUUUUUGGCCUGCUUUCCUGCCUGAGAAAAAAUCCAAGAAAGCUGAAAUGUUAUCAGCGCUGUUGAAAUUAGUUAGAUGACAGAAGGUGGCUUCUCUUUCAUACUAAACUCUUUUAAUCCACAGCUUUGAUUUGUCUCCAGGUUGUCAAACAGGUGGGUGUCCCACAAAACACUGCUUUUGGAUUCUUAUGUGUUGCUCUGAAUUGGUUGUAGUUUAUGAUUAAUUUGGUUAAUUUAAUUCUUUCAGUCAUGCCACGUCAGUAAAUGUCUUGUUUUCCUAUUUCUGCGUUAGCUUUGGUUUAGGAUUUCAAAUCAUUCUCAUGUUUAAUUUUAUUGGCGUUUGAGUGUUAUUUUCACUCACCCCUCUAUAUACAUUGUGUGUUUGUUUGCUGUUGUAACAAUAAUUUUCCCCACUCAGCCACAGAACAAUAUUUAAUUACACCUGAUUUUCAUGGCACUAAUCACCUCCCAAGAAUAUAAGCUUCCUAUUCUGUCACUUCUUGUCAGAUCCUGCUGCUUCUAUUGUUUUAUGAAAAGUUUCAUAUUCAGAUGAAACUUUUUCUGUUAUGAUAACUUUUGUUCUCAUAAACAAAUUCCAAAACAUUACUUGGAUUUAUUU
Molecule: long non-coding RNA, 2769 nt
Organism: Poecilia latipinna (sailfin molly)
Lineage: Eukaryota; Metazoa; Chordata; Actinopteri; Cyprinodontiformes; Poeciliidae
Exons: 2
Source: RefSeq, a predicted model, not a curated record